GAAAACAUAGGAUUUUAUUGACCUCUCCGAAGUAUAUGUCGGCUAACACCCAUCGAAAGUAGAAAAAAUCCCGUAAUUCCUGUUGUCUUCCCCGUUUCACUUGAAAAAUGGCUCCCCCAACCCCGUCAAAGUAACCUGAUCCAUUUAAUAAGCUAUUGGAGAACCGCCCGAGAAGUUUCACCCAAAAUAUUUUUGAAACCCGCACCAACC
Molecule: long non-coding RNA, 210 nt
Filed under: Capsicum annuum
Lineage: Eukaryota; Viridiplantae; Streptophyta; Magnoliopsida; Solanales; Solanaceae
Description: long non-coding RNA (CANN_LNC008908)
Source: RNAcentral